UACCUUUUCAGAUGGAACUAAGAGACUACAACCCAGUCCUGCAUGAGAGAGGCUUCCAUCAAAAAUUGAACUUUCUUGUCAAAGAGAGUUUACAAUUUAGGUAAUUGUCAUCUCCAUCCACCUUGGGCCUUCCUAACAUGUAGCACGUACAUUAAAAAGAAUACCAACAUGCAUAUGUUUAAUGUAAGCACAGGCAUAUAUAUUGUACUUGUAUAAAUAAUAUACCUGUCAGAAACUUUGGUUGAUUUUGUAAAAAUAUUAAGGUACACUUUUUUAUUUCUAAGCAAUUAUAUUCCUAGCAUACAUUCAUAUCUAUAUGAAAAUAGUUGAUGAGGGAAAUCAAGGAACGUUCCUUUUAGUUCUGAGUUAAUUAUAUUCCUAGUAUACAUUCAUAUCUGGUUGAAAGUGGAUGAGGCUGUAGAGAGGUUAAGAUCUACUAUGGGUUGGGUUUUCUGGAGUUUUGAUGAUAGUAUGAACAAUAUAUAUUUUUUUUUCUGUUUUCUUGAAAAGUAGCAUUAUUUACCUCAUUAGGUUUAUGUUUAUUUCAUUGCAUUGGUAGAGGAUCUUGUCAAGGAUUCUAUACAAUGUUUCAGUAUUUUGUUGUCAUUUUAGUAUAUGUGGCUCCAUUUUCUUCAGUUUUUCCUUCUAGAGGAUGACUAUUUGGCUAUGAAGCUCAGGAUACCACAAUGGCACAAUCAUGUUCAUGGAUGUUAAAAACCCUGUUUAAUUCUUCUCUAGACUACUCUCACAACCAUUUUUGUUAUUUGAGAGAAAAAGUUGUCUUAUUCACUAACAAAAUAAUAAAAAAUAUAUAUGUAUACAAUCUUUGAAAUAUCAAAAAAGGCAGUUAAUCCUUACUGAAUAAAACUGUUAUUAACCGCCCUUAAAUGGUUCUCCUCAAAUUGGGGUAUAUUUAUUCCUAAGACCCAGCUUGGAACAUAGAACAAGAAAAAGAUCCUUCCUAAAGCUUUACAAAAACAUCUCUCAAUUAAGCUUUAAAUUUGAUAUACGAAGUUAUGACUUUCUUGCUGGUGAAAACUUACUCUAAUAAAGUUACUAACAAUGUGAAUAGCAGCCUGAUCAUCAUAAUACACAUUCAUGGGCAUUUCAAGAGAAAAUCGAAGCUCCUGUAAAAAUGGUCGGCGUCACAUUUGUUGUGCUUCUUCUUGCAAAAAUAAUAGAUCACACUCUUGCCUUGAUCAUGAUAAUAAGUAGGCUAUCGUAAUAUAGUGGUCUAAGCAUCGUCCCUAGGGAUUGAUUCAUAUAUGGUAAUUGGAGGCAAAGAUGUGGAGAGAAUAGGAUUGGUAAAAAGGCUACUGGGUAGAUUGUGAGUAGAGAUCAAAAUCAAGGAGAAUUUUUAAAAGUGAAUUUCUAUUAAAUAAUUUUUGAAGGCUUAAAAGGAAACAAACAAUUGAAAAUUUUCUUGGAUUCAAAUCUAAUAUAGCAAUUGAGCAUUAUGGUAGAGAUUGAUCUCUAAUUCAACUUAUUGACCAUCAAGUUAAAUGAGAAGCUCAAAAUCUCUUUGGGUCAAUAUUAAAUUUAACUUUAGGUUAUGGUCUACUCUCAAUGAUGAACUCACCCUUCCAAUUGUCAAUUUAAGAAGUUAAUGAUAAUUUUUCAUCUCAAAUUAUCUUCUCAUAUUGCCUAUAGUGAAUCUACACAACCUUAUUGAAUCUAUUCUAAGAAUAGAGAGCCUAGCCACUCAUGAAGAGAGAAAUCAUCUUACACUUGAUGUUUGGCUAGUGGGAAAAUGAAAGAAAAUGAAAAGAGAAUAUGAAAAUUUUAUCGAAGUUCAACUACAAAAAAGAGAAAAUAUCUUGGAGUCUCCAAUCCUAAAAAUUCAAAAGUUUCAAAUCAAAGGUGAAAACCUCUAUUUUGUAGUAGAGUUUACAAUAGGACACUUGUCAAUCACUAAAUGAGCCUUUAGAAACUUCUACAACUGCCAAAUUGGAAGCUUCUGCCCACUAAAAUGAUUCUCCCAAUCAUCAAAACAAGAAAACGAUCCAACCUAGAGGCUGACCCAUUAUUAGACCCACCACACCAAGUAAACAGACCACCAGAAAGGGGAAGAUCUUUAAGGCACAUCUCCUCAAUAAAUUGAGAAAAGCACCUCAUAGAAGCCAAUAAUCUUUGAUAUUUCCUCUUUUUCUUCGUGAAUCUUACUACAUUGAAAUCCCUUCCCACGCGCUAGGGAUCAUACUAAAGACCUCUAAUAGCACCCAAUUAAUUCCAAAAAUCAUCCCUCUUCUCAGCCAAAAACAAGUCGUACACCCUUAUGAACAUCCAAAUAAAAUUAUCGUCACAAUUUCUUAAACGACAAGAUACUAAAAAAGCUUCAAACUCCAUAUCCAAAAGCUCCAAUGCUCGAUUGUCCCAAAAAAUUAAAAUACCCCUUGAUUGACCCUUAGCAUCCAUCGUCCCCUAAUCCAGACACCUCCCCACACCCAAGCUCCUCACCAGGCAAGUUGUCAUUUGUUGAACCUUCAUUUCUUGAAGAUAGACAAGGUCAACUGAGUGGGAAUAAAUCAUAGAUUUAAUGAUCUUCCGCUUAUCCCCCUCGUUGAUCCUUCGCAUGUUCCAAGAUAAAAUUCUUAGCUUCAUGGACCCACCUCAACUAAUUCCUUGGAAGAAUUCCUUUUUGUUCUCCUCCUAGAUAAAUUUGUCUUAUAAGAAAUUGAGCAUUCUAAUUUCCUUAGCUUUCUCUCAAGUUUGGACCCAUCGAAGCUAGCCUUUUUCACCACUUACCCCAAAGGCUUCCUAUUUGCUUGGAAUUCCAAAUUCCUAAAAAGAUCCAGAAUUUCCUCUUCGUAGCCAUCCACCAGAAACCCUAAAAAUUUGCUAAAAGCCAGUAGUUUCUUGAAGCUGCCUUGAGAGCAGGCAAGGUCCUUCUUCAACUCCAUUGGGAUAUUGUUCUUGACCAAAGCUAACUACAAUUCCUCUUCUCGUCCUUAGAUUUCAGACUCUAAGCCAUCACGAUUUGAAUGAAGAUUUAGCAUUACCAUAGCCACCCAAGGCAGGAGCUCCCACCACAAGUAAACAAUAAAACAAAGGUCUUCUAUCACCACUUGCAACUUCCCCGACACCUCUCUCCCAUUCGCUCGGACUAACACUAGUGCCCAUUGCAAAUUUUUUCCCCUCAGUCUCCUCGUCAACCCCCAAAUAGCCUCCAUAAGCAUCGCCACUUGUUUGAAGAACUCCCUAUGCCAAAAAUAAAGCGGAAGGCCCAUUAUCCUCACCCAAGCAGACUUAGCUUGUACUCUUUCUCUGAAACUGCCUAUUAUCGGGGCCCAUCUCUCCAAAAACAAGAACUUUUGCUUAUAAAUCUGCUCUCUUUCCUACAGCACCCUCUGCCUCCUUUGGACCUUCAAACUCAAACAAAAUCAAUCCAUCUCCCAAAUGAUGCAUACUGUAGAUCAAGAUUGGCGUAGACAUUACUAAGUCAUCCCUUGGUUGUUCUUUAAUCUCAAUAUCAGCAGACAAGGUUGACACACAGUCAGUUACUCCCAUAUCCCUCUGAGCAUUGCUUGCUGUUUGUGCAAAGAUUUCACACUCUGCUUCACCCCAAAAAUAUCCUGAUAUAGCUGAUAGAUUCUGGAAAUAUGAUUUCUUACAAGUAUGCCUAACUGAAUCCAAUAUCUCCCUUGCAAUUUUUAGAGACACGAAAUUGGCACUAAUAUAAGACUCCAUAUUAUUACCCAACCAAGUUAUUAUCAUUAAGUCAUCAUGUUGUUAUUCAUCAAAACUCUUGCAUUCAUGUUAUUAUCAUUAAGUCAUCAUGUUGUUUAAUUUCCCUUUGCCCCAAGACACAUUCAUAACUUUAGGGCUUAAUAAAUAACUAGAUCCCUUUAGUUUCACUAAUGUAAUCUGAAUACCAACCUAUCUCUAGAUUUGUGAUUACAGCUAAACGCCAUGAUCUUUAACUAUUGAAGGCAGAAAAUAGGAACUACUGCACUAAUCUCUAAACCAAAGAGAUGUUAUGUAGCUUCAAAACUGAUACAAACUUGCUAACUUGCAUAAUGUGGCACAACCAAUGAUACAUCUAAGAACACAUCUCCCACACCAUCAAUCACAAAGAAGGAUUGUUGUACUACAACUGUAAGAUAGUAUUUACAUUACACAAGCACAAACCGUGACUUAAAACUUGGUAGUACUAACAUCACACAAGGAGUGACUUAACACCUGUAUCAUUUGGCUUUGACUUGUGGGUAUUGUGGUGGUCCUGUAGAGGUACUGUAGCACAAUCCUGUAACAGUAACAAGUGGUUAGGAUUUUGUGUGACUGGAGUUUCAUGAUCCAUGUAUGCAUACACACACAUUUUGUCUUUAAAACAUUAAAAAAAGACUAAACUAGCCCUUAUUAAAAUUAUUUCUAGUAACUAAUAAUUUUUAUAAUUUUGGCUUCAUUUAAAUAAAAUCUGCUGAUUCUCUGGUUCCUAGUACACCCAAAUCAGGUUUAAUUGGACUUAGCAUGAUUAUUCUACCCAAAUCAAUAUAUUAGCUGAUCAGUUAAAAAUUUUCCUGAUUUUUUCUGUGUAAAAUGAAUAUCCCAGGUCAAUACCUCCUAAAUUGGAAGAGGUUAACUCUGAACUGAACUUAACCGAACCAGAUUCUUUGGAAGUGAUUGCAGAAUCAAAUUCAGCAAUAGAUGUUGCAAAUGCAGAAGGGACCCCACAGUUGGAUGUGAAAGCUGGAGAAGACAAAGCUACUGCUACGAUUGCAGAAGAGUGGGAGCAGCUGAUUGUCAAUGAAGUCCCAAAUAUAUACUCCCCCAGUUGUAUUUGCAAACCCAAGUUGGAGCAAUCAGUUCUAUUACCAUCAGAUAGUACUAGACAGUUAGAUGUAAAAACUUCCAGGAUCUUAGAGAGGCUGGAGAUCCCAAGACAGUUGAAGAAGAGGGCACUUUCACCCAUUAUCACAAACAGCAUCAUGGCUGAUGGAUGUGCACUGAUGAAGAAGCCUCUAAUUCCAUUCCAGCCUAUUCAUGUAACAGCAGCAGGCCGAGCCUCCAUUGCAAGCAAACCAAUGAAACCCAACUUUCAGAGGAAACAUGGAUAAAAGAAGGGUGCUCACAUUUAGUUCCUGAAGGUAUUCUUGUGGAAAAGGUCCAUGAGGUUAGUGGCUCUUUGCUUUCUAUUUGUUUGUUUUUACUAUUUCUGCAAACAUGCUAUAUUCUCAACCCAUGAAUGAGAAGGUGCUCUAACAAAAUGUUUACAUCAUUGAGGGUGAAAAUGAAUGAAAAGCAACAAAAUAUUCCAUGAUAGACUCAGUUCUGAAGUGAGUUCUUAACCUGAAACAUUUCCUGUGAGUUACUGCCCUACCAAUUCCAUGAUCCGGGUUGUUAGAGUGAAAAGUUCUGGUUUAGUUUAACUUGUUUCUGUCAUCUGUUACUGAUAAAGCCAAAUUUCCUGUGUUCCGAGAGGGAGAGAAAACAGACUGAAAUAGCUUUUAUAUGUCAGAUAUAUUUUCAUACAUGUACAAAUGCCUCUUUGUGAGCUUCCUACUUUCUACUUCCUAAUUUCAUUUGAACUAUGAAACGAUUACUCAAACACUACAAUCUGUAACAUAUAUACAAAUUGAACACCAAUGCAUCUUAAUGCAGGAUUAAGAUUCUUCUCUUAGAUUUUUGUAACCUUUUUUGAGAUGUUCAGCUUGCAUGGCUCCUUAUUAAGGAAUUUCUCCUCUUGUUUUGAUCAGGUUUGUAUAUUAUGGAAGAAAUCUUUUUAUUUAAUAGAAAAUAUCUAUUGUGUUUCUGAUUAAAAAAAUCACAAUGGAGUGAGUUAUUAUUCCAAGGACUUUCCUGUGCGUUACUGCCUAUCAAUUCCUUUAUCCAAGCUGUUUGAGCAAAAAAUUCUAGUUUAGCUUAGGUUCUCUCUGGUAUCAGGAUAACCGGAAUUCCUUUGUUCUGGGAGAGAGUUAAAGAAGAGAAUGCAAUAACUUUCAUAGGUAUAUUCUCAUACACAUCUUUUCCCUUUCGUUGACUUGCUACUUCCAAUUUCCUAAUUUCAUUUGGACUAUGAAAUAUACUCACCAAAAAACAUUCUAUGACAUAAGUUGAAUAGCAAUGUCAAAUGCAUGAUGGACUGCAUGGACAUUUUUAGCAGGCCUCUGGAAAUAAUCUGAUGGGAGACUGAGGAGAGGGUGAGCAGAGAGGAAGAUGGUAGUAGUGGAAGCGUCUCUAGACAAUUUCUUGAUGGGAGACUGAGGAUACGUACAGACACAACAUGCAUUAAGGUUGUUCAAUUCGAGCUAUUCGAAAUUCCAUUGGAAUGGGCUUGAAUCUCUUAGGGAUGCAAAAUUCCCAAAAACCUUUCCACAAGCCUAUUAGGUUAAGAAUGUGGAAAAACAAUAUAAACCCACUAAAGGUGUCCAUGGACACCUUUUGUUUUUCUCACUGAUUUGUGUUUGUUGUGAAACUGUGUUGGAAGUUUCUCUCUUUUUUCCGUUUACCCUUUUUCCUGUCUAUAUUAAAUAAGCUUUGUGUUGACCGCCAAAAUACGACCUUUUAUCAUGCACCUGAUGCGAACAAAUUAACGUCUUAUUCCAAGGCAAAAGCCAAGUUUUCCAAUAUGGUAUAUCUACUGUUGGAUUCUCUGUUCUCCAAGUGCUAAAUUGUCUGUUAAACUUCUUGGCCUCUAUCCGAUUUUGAUCAAUCUCCUAAGAAUGAGUGGAGUUAUGGGCUAAUUUUAAGCGUGGCAGUCAGAAGUCGUGGCUGAACUACAGCCUUGCUUCUGUAUACGGACUUAAACUAAGCUGUAUCCUUGUUUGUUUUUACUUUUUCUUUUUCAAACUUAAAAGUUUUAAACUUAACUCUGUCGUUAUUUCUUAGCUUUGUUACUUUUUUUCAAGACAAAUUUGUUGAUUUUUUUUUAGGUGUUUGAUUAAGUUUAAUCCUCAUGCUUAAUAAGUUGAGAUAAUUUUAAGAAUUUAUUUGUUUUAUUUUUUAUAUGUUGUUUUAAGACUUGAGGAAUUUUUACAUGUUUUGAGAAACCUAUUUUUAAAUCUUUUAAAUUAAAAAACUGUUUGAAGUUCAGUUCCAAAAAAUGGGCCCCACACUGUUGUUCAUUCCUUCUUGGGAUAGUCCAGAGGGCUGCUGGUCAGCGGAUUUGGAGGCUGUUGCUAGUCCCAUCUCCCAUGGUUAUUCUUUCGGAUUUCAACCAAUAGCCUCCAGGAGGAACAGCACUGGAUUGAGCUGUUGCUGUAUCGAUUCAGGACGCGAAAGAAUAUAUAUAUGUUACAAGGUGAGAAAAGUCACCAGUAGGGGUAACCCAUGUCGUCUGCUAUGUAGGUGUUUCUCUUGUAUCUUAAGCUAUGCGUGCAAAAUUCUUUCUUUAAAAACAUGUUGAUCGGGUUCUAGCUAUGGGAGAUGUUGGAAAUACUUUUUUGAAAAGUUUGGGGUGGCUUGUACUUGUAGUUAGUAGGGAGGAAUACGAUGAAAGAUGAAGUAAAGAAUCUGACGCAACCCAUAUCAUACUCACCUUUAUAAGUGCGAUAAUUUUUGGCGGAGGAGAUGUAAUCCAAGCAGCCAAUUAACAGUGAGCAACUUUAUGGAAGUGCACAGUGACGAGACUCACAACAGUAUUUGUGACAUCCCAGGCUGAUUGAGAAGAUAAAUUUCAGACGUUUAGAUAUGUUUUAUUUUAUUUAAAAUUGAGAGUUUAGAAUGAGUGGUUGUUCUGACUAUUAAUCCAGUCCCAUAAACACGAUAAGGAUAUCCUAUUUGCAGGAUAUAGUGAUGUCUUGGCCACAGGAUAUAUCGAUAUGGAUGAAGAUCAAAUAAAUCGUGGAUUUUAGUGGGAAUGGUCCGCGUCUUGUACGCCUUGCUCUUUGCUUUUAAUGUGGGGAUUGAUAUUUCCUUUUCCGUGCUCCACUGUUCUUAGGAUGCUAGAAAGUAGGAAGAGUUAUGGCUAGUAUCACCUUUAAAAUUUUGUUUCUGAAAAUGUGUCAAAGUUCACAAGACAUGAAGAGAAUUCAAAAAAC
Molecule: long non-coding RNA, 7976 nt
Filed under: Vitis vinifera (wine grape)
Lineage: Eukaryota; Viridiplantae; Streptophyta; Magnoliopsida; Vitales; Vitaceae
Description: long non-coding RNA (VVIN_LNC003354)
Source: RNAcentral